RNAcentral lists this ribosomal RNA (167 nucleotides) under uncultured bacterium. RNAcentral's name for it is "partial 16S ribosomal RNA". It matches the Rfam family "Bacterial small subunit ribosomal RNA", at positions 1334 to 1500 of the family's 1533-position model. The record is from RNAcentral.
GCUAGUAAUCGCGGAUCAGCAUGCCGCGGUGAAUACGUUCCCGGGCCUUGUACACACCGCCCGUCACACCAUGAGAGCCGGGAACACCCGAAGUCCGUAGUCUAACCGCAAGGAGGACGCGGCCGAAGGUGGGUUUGGUAAUUGGGGUGAAGUCGUAACAAGGUAUC